UUUUGAUUCAAUAGUUUAAUUUUUCAAUAUAAAAAAAUAGGUAAAUUGUAUUGUUAUCUUCUGAACUUUUGGCGAAGUUUCACAUUACCUCUCGAACUCCUAAAAUGGACAUCUAACAUUCUAAACUUUAAUAUUUCGUUUAUGUUACAUCUUCUGUCAGUUUUCCGUCAAGCUCCAUUAAGCGAAAACUGACAGAAGGAGUAAAACUAAUGAAAUAUUAGAGUUUAGAGUGUUAGAUAUCUAUUUUAGAAGUUUGGGGGUUAAGUGAAACUCGCCAAAAGUUCAGGAGGUAGCAGUGCAAUUUACCCUAUAGAACUUUUGACUAUAAAUUAUUUUAUUAUAAUAUGUUACUUAUGGAUUGACUACUAACCCUCAAGUUAAUGAUCAUACUUGAUUUUAAAUUUAUAUAUAUUUUUAUCCUAAAAUAAAUUAUACCACAAUUUAUCCUAUAUUUUAUUGUAAUAAAAUAAAAGCGAAAGAAAUAAAUUAGAGUGGCUUAAAGAUAAAAAAAGUGCGAUACUAACUACCUACGAUACUCGAACACUCUACUGUCCUGAUGUACUCGCUAAUAUGAUUGAUUUACAAUAGGUGUUCUCACUCGAAUAUAGAGAUUUUAAUACUCAGUUAAUUUUCUGUAGUACUCGUUUGUCCCUUUUAUCUUUAGAAGUAUUGUUCUAAAAAAUACACUUAUUUUCUAUGAAAUUAUGCAAUGUAAUUUUAUUGUAGUUUAACAUAAAAUUUUUGUACUUCAUUUCAGCCAAUUAAAAAAUUUUAAUAUAAAAAUAUAAAAUAAUAUUUUAUAAUACUUUAGAACAUUGCUUCUAAAGUAUGAUAAA
This 836-nucleotide long non-coding RNA is filed under the name Ananas comosus (pineapple). Its description in RNAcentral is "long non-coding RNA (ACOM_LNC008769)". The record is from RNAcentral. Lineage: Eukaryota; Viridiplantae; Streptophyta; Magnoliopsida; Poales; Bromeliaceae.